AUGUCCUUUGUCCAUUUUUUUUUUUUUGAGACAGAGUUUUCACUCUUGUUACCCAGGCUGGAUGAGACUCUGUCUCAAACAAACAAACAAACAAACAAACAAAAGUCAGGAGACAACAGAUGCUGGAGAGGAUGUGGAGAAAUAGGAACACUUUUACACUGUUGGUGGGAGAAUAAAUUAGUUCAACCAUUGUGGAAGUCAGAUCCUCAAGGAUCUAGUAAUAGAAGUACCAUUUGACCCAGCAAUUCCAUUACUGGGUAUAUACCCAGUGGAUUAUAAAACAUUCAGUUAUAAAGACACAUGCACACGUAUGUUUAUUGUGGCACUGUUUACAAUAGUAAAGACUUGGAACCAACCCAAAUGCCCAUCAAUGAUAGACUGGAUAAAGAAAAUGUGGCACAUAUACACCAUGGAAUGCUAUGCAGCCAUAAAAAAAAUGAGUUCAUGUCCUUUGCAGGGACAUGAAUGAAGCUAGAAACCAUCAUUCUCAGCAAACUGGCACAAGAACAGAAAACUAAACACUACAUGUUCUGACUCAUAAGUGGGUGUUGAACAAUGAGAACACAUGGACACAGGGAGGGGAACAUCACACACUGAGGCCUGUCAGUGGGUAGGGGGGUAGGGGAGGGAUAGCAGGGGCUGGGGGUAUUGGGGAGGGCUAACAUUAGGAGAAAUACCUAAUGUAGAUGAUGGGGGGAUGGAUGCAGGAAAUCACCAUGGCGCAUAUAUACCUAUAUAACAAACCUGCAUGUUCCACACAUGUACCCCAGAACUUAAAGUAUAAUUUUAAAAAAUUUAAAAACAGAAAGAGGAUAUUAAGAAAACAAUCUUAUUUAUAACAGCAUCAAAAAGAUGAGGAAUACUGAGAAAUACACUUAAGCAAGAAAUCAUUAUUUGAAAAGGAUACUUACACAUAUUUAUAGCAGCACAAUUCACAAUAGCAAAAUCGUGAAACCAACCUAAAUGCCCAUCAAUCAACAAAGAGGAAAUUUCACAUGAUACAUAUUGAGAAUUGUUAACAGAAUUGUGACUUCUUAAGCUGAAGAAGAAGGAAGGUAAAAUGAGCUCAAAUGUGUCAAUAUGUCAAGCUCUGGUGGUAUUGAUGUGUCAGGAUCUGUCAUGUCCAUUGGCUUAUUUAUUUUCUAUCAUCUUACCUCCCUAAAAUACCUGGUCUUUUCUGAACACUGGGGCUAAGCAGGAUCAGGACUGCCUGGACCUUGAUGGGAAUGAACUCUUUCAUAGGAAGGCUGUCUAGGACAAUGGUUAAGUGCAACUGUGUGGGCAUC
This 1286-nucleotide long non-coding RNA is filed under the name Callithrix jacchus (white-tufted-ear marmoset). Its description in RNAcentral is "lncRNA (ENSCJAG00000075231.1)". The record is from RNAcentral. Lineage: Eukaryota; Metazoa; Chordata; Mammalia; Primates; Cebidae.